Molecule: ribosomal RNA, 228 nt
Filed under: uncultured bacterium
Lineage: Bacteria
Description: partial 16S ribosomal RNA
Rfam family: Bacterial small subunit ribosomal RNA
Source: RNAcentral
UACGUAGGAGACGAGCGUUGUCCGGAGUUACUGGGCGUAAAGGGUGCGCAGGUGGCGGCGCGCGUGGGGGGUGAAAUCGCCCGGCUUAACUGGGCGGGGGCCUUCCAGACGGCGUGGCUUGAGCAGCGGAGGGGGACGUGGAAUUCCGGGUGGAGUGGUCGGUAAGAAGUCGGCUGAUGAAGGAAUACCGGUACGGUGGAAGGCAAACCCAAACCGGGUGGCCGGAAA